CAAGCGAAAGUGAUAAGUUAUCCACCUGGGGAGUACGUCCGCAAGGAUGAAACUCAAAGGAAUUGACGGGGGCCCGCACAAGCGGAGGAGCAUGUGGUUUAAUUUCGAUGAUACGCGAGGAACCUUUACCUGGGCUUAAAUGCAGGAUGAUUCAUGCCGAAAGGCGUGUUCCUUUCGGGCAUUUUGCAAGGUGCUGCAUGGUUGUCGUCAGCUCGUGCCGUGAGGUGUCGGGUUAAGUCCCAUAACGAGCGCGACCCUUACUCCCAGUUGCCAUCACUUCGGGUGGGGACUCUGGGGGAACUGCCUACGCAAGUAGCGAGGAAGGUGGGGAUGACGUCAAAUCAGCACGGCCCUUAUGUCCAGGGCUACACACGUGCUACAAUGGCCUGUACAGAGGGCAGCUACCCGGCGACGGGGUGCCAAUCUCAAAAACAGGUCUCAGUUCGGAUCGGAGCCUGCAACUCGGCUCCGUGAAGUUGGAUUCGCUAGUAAUCGCGUAUCAGCAACGACGCGGUGAAUACGUUCCCGGGCCUUGUACACACCGCCCGUCAAGCCAUGGGAGUCGGGGGUACCUGAAGUCGAUAACCGCAAGGAGUCGCCUAGGGUAAGACCGAUGACUGGGGCUAAGUCGUAACAAGGUAACCAAGGGCGAA
RNAcentral lists this ribosomal RNA (653 nucleotides) under uncultured organism. RNAcentral describes it as "bacterial SSU rRNA". It matches the Rfam family "Bacterial small subunit ribosomal RNA", at positions 848 to 1510 of the family's 1533-position model. The record is from RNAcentral.